Molecule: long non-coding RNA, 202 nt
Filed under: Mytilus galloprovincialis (Mediterranean mussel)
Lineage: Eukaryota; Metazoa; Mollusca; Bivalvia; Mytilida; Mytilidae
Source: RNAcentral
GUCGUUUGUUUAUGUGUUACAUAUUUGUUUUUCUUUCAUUUUUUUUUAUAUAAAUAAGGCCGUUUGUUUUCUCGCGUUUGAAUUGUUUUACAUUGUCUUAUCGGGGCCUUUUAUAGCUGACUAUGCGGUAUGGGCUUUGCUCAUUGUUGAAGGCCGUACGGUGACCUAUAGUUGUUAAUGUCUGUGUCAUUUUGGUCUCUUG